AUUGAACGCUGGCGGCAGGCUUAACACAUGCAAGUCGAGCGAGCGGCGGACGGGUGAGUAAUGUCUGGGAAACUGCCUGAUGGAGGGGGCUAACUACUGGAAACGGUAGCUAAUACCGCAUACCAUCAGAUGUGCCCAGAGGGGAUUAGCUAGUAGGUGGGGGAAUGGCUCACCUAGGCGACGAUCCCUACCUGGUCUGAGAGGAUGACCAGCCACACUGGGACUGAGACACGGUCCAGACUCCUACGGGAGGCAGCAGUGGGGAAUAUUGCACAAUGGGCGCAAGCCUGAUGCAGCAAUGCCGCGUGUGUGAAGAAGGUCUUCGGGUUGUAAAGCACUUUCAGCGGGGAAGCGUUACUCGCAGAGGAAGCACCGGCUAACUCCGUGCCAGCAGCCGCGGUAAUUC
Molecule: ribosomal RNA, 406 nt
Filed under: uncultured bacterium
Lineage: Bacteria
Description: partial 16S ribosomal RNA
Rfam family: Bacterial small subunit ribosomal RNA
Source: RNAcentral